RNAcentral lists this ribosomal RNA (663 nucleotides) under Lithophaga nigra (black date mussel). RNAcentral describes it as "partial large subunit ribosomal RNA". It matches the Rfam family "Bacterial large subunit ribosomal RNA", at positions 1817 to 2600 of the family's 2925-position model. Lineage: Eukaryota; Metazoa; Mollusca; Bivalvia; Mytilida; Mytilidae. The record is from RNAcentral.
UUCUUCUCGCUUUGGUGAUGAGAAGUAGGCCCUGCCCGGUGUCCCGUAAUUAAUCAGGAUAAACGGCUGCGGUAACUCUGACCGUACGAAGGUAGCGCGAUAAAUAGCCUUUUAAUUGGAGGCCUGUAUGAAUGGGUUAACGUGAGGAAGACUGUGUCGGGUGAAACUACCGAAAUUAAUUUUAAGGUGAAAAAGCCUUGAUUAGAAAGAAAGACGACAAGACCCUAGGAGCUUUUGCUAGAGUCAGGAUGGAUUACGGGUUUUGGGACAGUGGAAUCCGUGGCUUCUCUAGGGGGGAGGCUUCUCUAGUUAAGUCCGAGAGUAAGAAUGAAUCGAGUAUGAUGCUUCUCUAGGGGACCUUGUUUCUAGUUAAGAGUAGGGUGACCGUGGGGCUGCUGAAGCAGAAACGUGGCCCAUUGAUUAGUCUUGCACUCGGUUUUCGUUGGGGCAACGAGUUCGAGACGUCCGGACUAAAGUGUUAUGCCGACAGGCGUAAGAUCCUCUUUUGAGCGGAGGUGGACAAGUUACCCUAGGGAUAACAGCGUAAUCUCUCUCGAGAGCAUUUAUUGAAAGGGGGGUUUACGACCUCGAUGUUGGAUUAGGAUGUCCUUGUUGGCCCACCGGCUGCAGAGGGUUGGUCUGUUCGCCCAUUAAAAUCCUACA